Molecule: long non-coding RNA, 3437 nt
Organism: Helianthus annuus (common sunflower)
Lineage: Eukaryota; Viridiplantae; Streptophyta; Magnoliopsida; Asterales; Asteraceae
Exons: 13
Source: RefSeq, a predicted model, not a curated record
AACUUUUCUCCUAUUUCACAUAACGCCCCCUCCUUCCUUCCACGGUACGAUUCAUAAUUUUCUUCUACACAAUGUCUUUUUCUUCCAUAUUAAGAUUCACAAACCCUAAUUCUCAACUAAACUCUUGAGCCGCUUCUCUCUGUUUUGAUAUCUAACAUGUCUGCUCUGUUUCAUCCACAUUUUCUAUGUCCUUAUCCUUUUUCAGUUUAGGGUUUCUAUUUACCCCCUUCAUAUUAUUUAAUUGAAGAACAAUUAUUGGGUCUCUAUUGUUCUAAUUCGCUUCUUCUAAUCGAGAUCUAUUUAUCAGAAGUUGCACAAUACUAAUGGGAUUCUAAUCCUCUUUGAUCGAUUUGUGUAUUAAACGAUCAGUAAGAUAGGAUGACUCCUCAAUUGGGUUUUUAUGCUCUCGGUAUUCUUGAUAAAGAGACGCAGAGGUUGAAGACCAUUAAGAUUGAAGGCAAUAUGAUAUCAUCUUUUAUCCCCAUUUCCAUAUUUUAUACAGAAUGCUAAAUGUGAUUUUGAAACGUGUUCAUGUGAUAUGAUUGAAGAUUAAUAUGCUAAUAAUUGAUUGAUUGAUUGAGUUUUUGAUUCUUCUAAUGUUCUGAUUGUUAAUUAUUGCCUGGUCAAUUACUUAUGCUGAUUUCAAUUAUGGCUUCUCCGCUUGGUUGUUUUUAGUUAUUGCCUUGGUUAGCGCUGCCUUGCUGAGUUAACUAGGUUGUUUAAUUGUGUGUUUUUUCAUGGGCCAUAUUUGCACUAAGGUCAGUUCAAUACAUAACCUAGGUACCAAAAUCAGUUUGUUCAUUUGAAAUCCAAUUUCUUUGAGUCUUGAUCUGCAAAUGGGGUGAUUUGUUUUGGUGUCCAGCACAGCCGCAAGCUUGAUCCAGGGCUCGAUAGAUGAUUCUUUUUUCUUCAUUCGAUCAAAAAUAGGAGAUUUUCGAUCUUCCUCCAGGCAAAAAACCAUUAGAUUGGAUCUCAAGGAUGAAAGUUGCAGCAAGAGACGCACAUGCUGUGGAGCAUUUACAUAAAAAGGUUAAUCCACCAGUUCUAUGUGGCAAUGUUAGAUCUACAAAUCUUUUCUUAGACAGAAACUUUGAGCCGAAGGCUGCGGAUUACGGGCUUGUGAAUCUAGAAAGCUCAUCCGGUAGUAAUGUGCAUAAAAGGGUGGUGGGAUCAGUUGGUUGUGCUCCAGAAUCCGAACAUACGAGUGUAUUCAAAGUAAUUUAGAGUAAAUUACAAGAAUUAUGGUUUAAUGAUUGAAAUUAUCAAUGUAAUUUAGAGUAAAUUACAAGAAUUAUUCGUGUAGGUUUAGGAUUAUUAUAUCUUGAAGAAACAAUUAGAUAAGAUCUUUUUUGUUAUAAUUAUAAUUUAGUUCUUUAAAAAGUACUUAAAUAAACUGGUGGCAUAUCGCAAGUCUAUAAUUUGUAUAUGAUCUGUCUUUUAUUGUUUUAUGGUGAAUCAUUGAUAUGUCUUUGUUUAAAUUGGUGGUAUAUCGCAAGUCUAUAGUUUGGCGGCAACCCGUUUUGAUGGUAGUGGAGCAUUAAAUACUGGUGUAAUUGAGAGAAAAGGUUGAUCUGGAGGUCGCAAGCUUGAAGGAUUCUUCAACAACGGUGGUAAAGAAAGAAAACAAUGUAGCAACUUCCCAACGACAAUUUCCACCUUAACUGAUACUACACUGGCAGUGACUCCCGCUAUCAGCAGUGAAGACGCCACAUCAGAAGAUGAAAGCCAGUCGCAAACAAGCAAUGGCAGUUUAUGGUGAUGGAAACAAGCACGAAGUUUUCAAUACGUCUUUAACUUGGAGAGUUUACCAUGUUAGAACUUGCUCAGGUAUUUUAUUUAGGUCACAUGUGUUGUUUGGUGUCUUAUCGAUGGCUGAGGUCUUUUGGAGAGAAAUGGGAUUCGGGUCAUUCCUCCGAUAAACUUCUUGGCAGGCGUCGACCUCAAAUACAGUCAAAAUGAUGGUAUUGUAGUUCGCGACAAAGGGCGGUGGCGGCUCUAGGGUUCCGGCUGUUGAACCCGGCAACUACCACAAGCCACGUUUCAUUUCAUCCCACUUAAUAUUUUCUCCUCUGACUUUGCCGCUUUUCUUCUCCACCACCUAGACGAAUGAUUCAUCAACAAAGGUUGUAUUGAGCUAUGGAACAUAUACUUGGAGCUUCUAGAACACUAAGGUUUUCGCCGAACCUCUAUUCUCUAUAUUUUUGGCCAUUAUAUUCGCUAUACAUUUACCAAAAAUGGUAAACCGUCAUUUGAUCUUCUUGCUGUGAUGCGAUUAUUGGCAACCCUUAUAAACUUAUAAAAAUCAGUAAUGAAAAUUGUAUGCCUUUCCUAAUUUAUUAAAUGUCUACUUCAUAUUUUUGAACUUAUGUAAUUAGAAGUAUGAAAAGGAGCCGGUCGGCGUAACGGGUCAAAAUAGCGUAGUCUUGAUAAUAUUUAUGCAUUAAAAAUGACUUGGGUGACUUCCGACCCAUAUACUCUCUACAACUAUAUAUUUAUAUCUUUUUGAUCCUUUAGAGACAACAUAACCUCAAGCUAUCCACUCAUAAUUACACAUUCCAAAUUACCACCUUUAAAUGUGAUUUAGUUAUCUGAUAUAGCUGGGAAUGGAUAAAUCCAUCUUUAGUAAUCCAAAGACAUUUCACUUAACUGUGCUUAUGCUAAAGUGGUGGAACAAGGAGAGUCGACGCCGCUAUUAAGAUAUUCCAGCUCACUUUCAUCGUUGCAAAGCAACACAAAUGUUUAAAAACAAAGCUUAGUGCCGAAGAUGAAGAAACAAAAGUGUCGUAUGAGGGAGCAAAUACAUAUAUUAAGUAUAAAAUAAGGGGAAUUCGAUUGAAGAAGACGUAUUGUGGUUACAAAAUGAAAAGACAAAUUCAGAUCAUGUUGACUAGAAUUAACAUUAUUCUCCAUCAUCUAGGAAAAAGGGUGCUCAUCGCUUCAUAUAGGAACCCUAAAACAACUGAUUACAACCCAAUGGUCGAGGAAGUUAGUUUUAGUUGUCACUUGGAACUCCAUUUCACUAUAGUUACGCAUAACAGAUAUGGGGCACUUUCUGAGUUAAUCGUGACUUUUGCAAUGUAACAAUUGCAUAAAGGGCCGUAGGUACUCAUUAUUAGUUUUUAUUAUACACUUUAAAUCGUUUAUAUACCUACAUCAGCCCGGUGGCAAUGGGUAGUUCAAUCAUCAGAACUUCCAAGAACCUUCACACCCUUAAAAAACCUAAAUGCAUCAGAUGUGGCUACGACACCAUUCCAGGAGGUUGAAGAAACGGGCCUCGAUUGUCACUGUCUCAGUUGCAGAAAAUAACCGUUAUAUGGUUGAACCCGAGCCCAUAUAACAAAGUGCUAGAAGGAGCGUGCAUUGGUAACAAAAUAUUCUUUUGUGGACUUUUUUUGCGGGUACUACUUAUCAUUAAACAACUUUUGCAAGAGAAUAUA